AUAUGUCCAUGCAUUGUAAACGUGAAAACCAACGGUUGUUCAUCCGCAACUGACCUUCAGAUUGCAAACGUGUAAGUCAAGUAAUGAUAUAAAAGGGGCCGUUUUCACCGCAUUGGCAGAGCAGUUACAUCGAUUGUCCGUUUAAGAGCAUAUUAAAGUUGACCUGGCGACGUUGAAAUGUGACGUUUAGUUGACGUCCUUGUCAGCGAACCCACUGAGGCGGCCCUCGAGGCAGAGUGCCACAAGCUGAUCACCGACGGAACCAUCUUCUCAUACGGAUGUCCUUUAAUAUGUCAUGCUCUGCAAAACCUCGCCCACUACUUCCACGAGACUCCUCAUCCUGGCACAGGCUUCUACCUGCGGGAAUGCCAGAACUUCUGCCCGCUAAAGCAAAUAAAACAACUUUAGUAAUAACGUUAUAUGCAUGAAUUUUUACGAAACAUCUUAAUAAUAAUAAUAAUAAUAAUAAUAAUAAUAAUAAUAAUAAUAAUAACUUCAUUUCACGAAGAUAACACAUUAAUAAAUAGCAUUUUUUUUUACAAUGUGGUCUUCAAAAACACAGUAUAUGUAAAUAUAAAUCAACAAUGUCUAGCAUACUGCAAUCAGCCUUAAAAUAAUUACAAAAGCAUCAUAUAAUGAAAAUAAUAAUACUAAUACAAAUAAUAUUAAUAAUAAUAAAUUAAUAAAUGCAUAGCAAUGUAAGUGUUCGUUAUUUGUUAAGAGUACCAAUUAAAACGCAACGUCCGUUUAUUAGGUAAUCAGGUUUAUUUUUAUGUUAAAAUUACUGGGAGAUCAUUUUCCUUUCUGCUUUUUAAUUUACCACUUUUUGUAUUAUUAUUCACAUUCCAAAAAGUACAUUAUUUAAUGUGUUGCUUGAUGUGUUUAAGUUUCUCUAUGAAAAAUUCAUUUUAAAGAAUUAUUUAUCAAUAAUGCAAAAAUAUACCACCUUACCUAGAGAAGAUGAACUUCAGCAACCAUUUUUUUUCAGAAAAUAGUAGAGCUACGUUACCGAAACAAGUUUGGUGUAUAAUGAAAUGAUAUUGCCAGUUAGACGGGUGUAUUUGGUACUUUAGUCUUAUAAUGAUGUAUAUAUGGCAUUCUUUAUUGUUAUCGAAUUUGCGUUAAGAUACCGACGUUUGGUGGUGAAAGUAAUACAAUUAAUUUACGAGUACAAAAUGUAUACCAUUUUAUUAUAACUUAACGGAUAAGAAAAUUUCGUAACAAGAUGUAAAGAACAUGUGAAAAUAUGGUUAUGCUAUUUUGUAAUUUGAAUCUGUACUUAAAAUUGUUUUCCAUGUAUAAGACUGUGUUAUUGCUCAUAAUUUAUCAUACAUAAAACAAUAUCCUAACUUGAGUACUUAAAAGUUAUAGAAGAGUAAAUCAAUAAAAUACCACGAACUACAACGAUAAAUUACCGUAAAGUACUUUUUUAUUAGUAGUGGGCUACUAAAAUAUUUUAUGAGUUGCACUUAAUUAACGAAAUAUAAAUUUAGCAAGACAUAUAUGGUAGCAAAACAAAACGACAAUUGCUGUGUUUGACAUGAAAAACUAUAAUAGCGAACAUAAAAAAAGGUAGCACGAAAUUGAAUAUGUAAGAAAUUAAUGUAAUGUAUGUUGAUAGAAAGAAAAAAAUAAUGAGAAUAACAGUAUAUGUGCAAUUUAAUUGUGGUACACAUCUUAUAAAUUUAUUUUUAAUUCAACUGAAGCAGAAAUAUGAAAUCUUAAUAAUGUUAAUUAACAAUACAUGGGAUUUAUAAGUUGAAAUGUUCGCUACAAUGCUCCAGUUUAAUAUUUGAAAAAAGUCCAACAUGAUGAAGCACAAGCACGUGUACUAUGGUUAAAGAAACAUUAGGACGUAGUAAACACGGUUUUGUUCACACUAGUAAUGUGCACAUUUGCAUGUAUCAGUAUAGAUUUUAAAUGAUUUUUUAAAACUUAAGAAAUGUUACUCUUC
Molecule: long non-coding RNA, 1954 nt
Organism: Dreissena polymorpha
Lineage: Eukaryota; Metazoa; Mollusca; Bivalvia; Myida; Dreissenidae
Exons: 3
Source: RefSeq, a predicted model, not a curated record